AUUGAACGCUGGCGGCAGGCCUAACACAUGCAAGUCGAGCGGAUGAAGGGAGCUUGCUCCUGGAUUCAGCGGCGGACGGGUGAGUAAUGCCUAGGAAUCUGCCUGGUAGUGGGGGAUAACGUCCGGAAACGGGCGCUAAUACCGCAUACGUCCUGAGGGAGAAAGUGGGGGAUCUUCGGACCUCACGCUAUCAGAUGAGCCUAGGUCGGAUUAGCUAGUUGGUGGGGUAAAGGCCUACCAAGGCGACGAUCCGUAACUGGUCUGAGAGGAUGAUCAGUCACACUGGAACUGAGACACGGUCCAGACUCCUACGGGAGGCAGCAGUGGGGAAUAUUGGACAAUGGGCGAAAGCCUGAUCCAGCCAUGCCGCGUGUGUGAAGAAGGUCUUCGGAUUGUAAAGCACUUUAAGUUGGGAGGAAGGGCAGUAAGUUAAUACCUUGCUGUUUUGACGGUACCAACAGAAUAAGCACCGGCUAACUUCGUGC
This 485-nucleotide ribosomal RNA is filed under the name uncultured bacterium. RNAcentral's name for it is "partial 16S ribosomal RNA". It matches the Rfam family "Bacterial small subunit ribosomal RNA", at positions 30 to 508 of the family's 1533-position model. The record is from RNAcentral.